GCUUUUGUUCCAGCCAUCUGUUUGUAUGUGAAUGGAGCAGACAUGGGUAUAUCACGAGGAUGACUGACAGAUGGAAUUAUCUUUGAAAGGAUAUCAAGCUGGACUUCUUCGACUGGAUAUUUAACAGCAAACUUUCAGAUUCAGUCUUUAGUGUAUUUAUUAAGACGUGCGGAUUCUUUCCAUUACAAAAGGAUAUUGUCAGGAGGCUGAAUGAAGUGCAGAUCCACUAACCUUUGGGAAACCCAUCCGUCUCACGGUCAAUCCAAGUAAGUAAAUCCACUUUCAUUGUUCUCAUACUGCAGUUUUCCAAACCGUACACCUGAAUUUGUGAAAACAUCAACUUUGGUCAGUUAGUUGUAGUCAGCAGGGCUCAGUUAGGUCAGUCUGUCAGUCCCAUUACUGAUCUAGGUUCGGGAGUGUUUUUGUAAGGGUUAGGGUAGCGGUGCAUUUUCAGCUACUGACACCCUAACAUUCGGAAAACCGAUAACCCUCACGGUCACACUAAAAGAUGUACCGAAAACUCCUCCGUUUCUGUCCAUCUUGUCCCCUAUCAAGGACGAUGAACCGGAUAUUUGUCUGGCUGGCGGGUUCUUUCCUCAAGAAAAUAAAAUGACUUUGACUUUGGAAGAUAACAAUGAAGUGGAUCUUCAAACCAGCAAUGCGCCUUUAUCCAGCUCGACCAGAAGAUAUUAUUAUGCUGGAUUCAGUGGUAAAUCAAAAAUCCAAACAUGCAAAAUGGAUGGAGAAAACACAGACAAAACUGACAAAACUGACCCUACUGAAUCAACAGUAGAUCAACCCAAUCCAACGACUCCAAACCCUUGUGAAACAACUCAAACUAAAACUUCUGCCUCAGAGUUCAUAGACACUGGUGUUCCAAAAAUGAACUUCAUGAAUCUUCUUGUGACAGGUCUGAGAAUUCUGCUCGCUAAAUGUGUUGCAGUUAAUGUAAUGAUGACUGUAAAGGCCUUCGUAUUUUAAAAGUUCAAUUCAGCAAAAUCAUCUGAAUAAUCUCACAAACUAACAAAUGCGGUUAUACAGUCAGCCACAGGGUCAAUAUUAAUCUAUAUUCUAUCUAAUAAUAAUAAUGAAAUUAAAAAUACAAAUUGUUCGUAAUGCCUUUCAAAUAUACAGAAAUAUUGCAAACCUUUUUGACAUUUAGAAACAUUUCUGAAUUCAGUGGUAUAAUGUGUUUAUUGCUUUGCAUUGGUGUGUGUAUUUUCGGCUUUAGUUUGCGAAGUUUUUUGUAACAUUUUUAUACUUUUACAUUUUUUACUUUUUUACUUUUUUUAUUAUUAUUUUUUUUUUACAUAACAGUAUAUAAUUGUUUAAGACUUUUGCAUGUCUAAUUGUGUAACGGAUAACUAUUUCACUUAACUAUUGAGGCUCUUAUCUUUGCAUGUAAUAUGAUUUUUCAAAAAUAUAUUAAAUAAUAAAAUGUCUUGAUAAAAGAGAAGUUUCAUGUGAGUAUGUCUAAACCACAGUUUCAACAGCACAUUGGCACUGGAGACACAUUCUAACCACAGUUUCAGAUAAAGAUCUGCUGCUCGCUUUGGGUUCCAAGAAUUAGUAUGUUUGUUGCUUAAUUUUUUCCACUCUAUUACAGAAAGAGAAAAACAGCUGCAAAGUUUCACAGCUACAGGUUUUUGAGUUUGAGUUUUUUUUUUUAUUACUUAAAGUGUUUAAUUACUUAACUUUUACAUAAAAUGAUUUAAAAAUAAAUAUUUCUCAAAACAGUUUUCCUCAGUUUUGAUGAUUAGCCUGCAUUUGAGAAAAGUUACGUUACUAAUUCUGUUAAGAGCACUUUUUUGUUUUCCUUAUAAAUCACUUAAUUUGAUUAUUUAUGAACUAUUUAUUAAUGAAUAUUAAGUGAUAUUAAGCUCAACUUUCUUUCAUGAAAACGUUGAGCUGAGCUCGCUACUCAUCUAAGACCAUGAAAUAAAGUCUACUGCCCUCCUGUGGCUGGUAGUGGGAUUUUGUCGUUGGUUUUGAAUGGAGGACUUGAGUGCCCUCUAGUGGCCGACUGAGCAUUUACAUCCAACGUGAUUCUGCGUGUUCCACACGUCUUUUGUUUAUGUAAACAUACAAGACUCUCGAAAGCUUUUGGCUCAAGGGAAACAUGAUUCUACACUGGCCUGGUCCGUUUUCAGAAGACACUUUUUAUAUCACAGAAUAAAAAAAAAUAUCUUAAAAAUAUAUAGCUCUCUACAAAUAGCACAUGGUGGCACGGGUAACUAGCCUAAACGUUUGUGUCUGCCUGAUACUCCAUCAAAUAUAAAGCUCGACUCGAUAUUAAGUGUUUUUUUUUUUCCAAGCAAAAACAUUAAUUUAGAACGAAAACGCCUUAAAAUAAGACUUAGCUUCGUUGACAAUAAAUACAUUUAGUUUUACUAAACGUUUACGAAACAAUACCGAGUAAAACAAAUGUAAAUCUUAGCCUAGUAUUAUUAAGAAAUAAGUUUAGGCCUUGGCCAUGUGUGUAACGUUAAAACUAGGCCAGUAGAACACCGAUGUCUAUAUGAAGAGGUGAGUUAACAUAUUUCUCAUUUGAAAGAUUGUCUUCAGCUAACUAAAAUGUUCUGCGGUGCAAGUGGCAUUUUAAAUUUUCUGGUUUGAAUUCAUUUUUAGCAAAGAUUGAGGUGUUUGACACUUUUUAUACACAUACUGUUUCUUACAGAGGAAGUACAAAUUAUUCUGGGAUCUGAUAUAGUAGGGAGACACUAAGGUAAGGAUUUCUUUCAGAAUUGAUUUGUUUCAACACAAUAACACAUUUAAAUGUAUUAGAGAGGUUUUUGCAUCAAGAUAAUUGAUGCAUGAUAUUAUUAAUAUCAUCACUGAAUUUUUUGGUAUGCAUUUGGUAAUUCUCAAAUUUAGGGGGAAAUUAGAUAAAAUAUAGAAGUGUUUUGAUCAUUUUAAGCUUUUAUCAUUGAUAUUGAAUGCUUGCUAAAUUAUGAUUUGAAGAUAUACCAUUUAAAAUUAUCUUCUUUA
This 2988-nucleotide long non-coding RNA is filed under the name Carassius auratus (goldfish). RNAcentral's name for it is "lncRNA (ENSCARG00000016252.1)". Lineage: Eukaryota; Metazoa; Chordata; Actinopteri; Cypriniformes; Cyprinidae. The record is from RNAcentral.